CCUACGGGGGGCAGCAGUGAGGAAUAUUGGUCAAUGGCCGGAAGGCUGAACCAGCCAUGCCGCGUGAAGGUCAGUGCCCUAUGGGCGUUAAACUUCUUUUGUGCGGGAGCAAUAAUGGUCACGUGUGGCCAGACGAGAGUACCGUACGAAUAAGCAUCGGCUAACUCCGUGCCAGCAGCCGCGGUAAUACGGGGGAUGCAAGCGUUAUCCGGAUUUAUUGGGUUUAAAGGGUGCGUGGGCUGUGAGGUAAGUCAGCGGUGAAAUGCCCCCGCUCAACGGGGUGAAGUGCCAUUGAUACUGCCUGGCUGGAAUGCGGAUGCCGUGGGAGGAAUGUGUGGUGUAGCGGUGAAAUGCAUAGAUAUCACACAGAACACCGAUUGCGAAGGCAUCUCACGAAUCCGCGAUUGACGCUGAUGCACGAAAGCGUGGGUAUCAAACAGGAUUAGAUACCCGAGUAGUC
Molecule: ribosomal RNA, 460 nt
Filed under: uncultured bacterium
Lineage: Bacteria
Description: partial 16S ribosomal RNA
Rfam family: Bacterial small subunit ribosomal RNA
Source: RNAcentral